CGCAGCCCUGUUGGAGAGAGAGGCAUGCAGUGAUCCACCGCAUGCGUCCACCGAAGGAGCAAGCGCGGCGUAUCCCGCGUGAAUCUCUCAGGUAAAGAGGACAGCCGGGCAUGC
This 114-nucleotide non-coding RNA is filed under the name Comamonadaceae bacterium. RNAcentral's name for it is "Glycine sequence". It matches the Rfam family "Glycine riboswitch aptamer". From Rfam's summary of the family: This family represents the bacterial glycine riboswitch. Glycine riboswitches usually consist of two metabolite-binding aptamers domains with similar structures in tandem. The record is from RNAcentral. Lineage: Bacteria; Pseudomonadati; Pseudomonadota; Betaproteobacteria; Burkholderiales; Comamonadaceae.